RNAcentral lists this ribosomal RNA (472 nucleotides) under uncultured Thermovirga sp. RNAcentral's name for it is "bacterial SSU rRNA". It matches the Rfam family "Bacterial small subunit ribosomal RNA", at positions 897 to 1382 of the family's 1533-position model. The record is from RNAcentral. Lineage: Bacteria; Thermotogati; Synergistota; Synergistia; Synergistales; Thermovirgaceae.
AAACUCAAAGGAAUUGACGGGGACCCGCACAAGCAGAGGAGCGCGUGGUUUAAUUCGACGGCAAUCGAAGAACCUUACCAGGGUUUGAAAUGUAUCUGCAUGCCCUAUGAAAAUAGGGAGGCCUUCGAGGGUGAUACACAGGUGCUGCAUGGCCGCCGUCAGCUCGUGUCGUGAGAUGUAGGGUUAAGUCCCGAAACGAGCGCAACCCCUAUUCUAUGUUACAAGUGUCUUAGAAAACCGCCUCGGUAAAACGAGGAGGAAGGUGGGGAUGACGUCUGGUCCGCAUAGCCCUUAUGUCCUGGGCUACACACGCGCUACAAUGGCCGAUACAGUAGGAAGCCAAAUCGUAAGAUGGAGCUAAUCCUUAAAGUCGGUCUCAGUUCGGAUUGAGGUCUGAAAUUCGACCUCAUGAAGUUGGAUUUGCUAGUAAUCGUAGAUCAGCAAUGCUACGGUGAAUACGUUCUCGGGUCUU